This 429-nucleotide ribosomal RNA is filed under the name uncultured bacterium. Its description in RNAcentral is "bacterial SSU rRNA". It matches the Rfam family "Bacterial small subunit ribosomal RNA", at positions 63 to 507 of the family's 1533-position model. The record is from RNAcentral.
CGAACGAUUAAACGCUCUCUUCGGAGAGUGUAUAGAGUGGCGCACGGGUGAGUAACACGUAAGUAAUCUACCCUCGAGUGGGGAAUAACACCGGAAACGGUUGCUAAUACCGCAUAAUGCAGCGGCACCGCAAGGUGACAGUUGUUAAAGAUUUAUCGCUUGAGGAGGAGCUUGCGGCAGAUUAGCUAGUUGGUAGGGUAACGGCUUACCAAGGCUACGAUCUGUAACCGGUCUAAGAGGACGGUCGGUCACACUGACACUGAAUAACGGGUCAGACUCCUACGGGAGGCAGCAGUCGGAAUUUUGGGCAAUGGGCGAAAGCCUGACCCAGCAACGCCGCGUGAAGGAUGAAGUAUUUCGGUAUGUAAACUUCGAAAGAAUAGGAAGAAUUAAUGACGGUACUAUUUAUAAGGUCCGGCUAACUACGUG